Cucumis melo (muskmelon) is the source of this 1598-nucleotide long non-coding RNA. RefSeq lists it as uncharacterized. The record is from RefSeq and is a predicted model, not a curated record. NCBI's taxonomy places the organism in Eukaryota, Viridiplantae, Streptophyta, Magnoliopsida, Cucurbitales, Cucurbitaceae. The transcript is spliced from 3 exons.
GAAAGGAUAAAAAGAAGAAAAGGAGAAGAAAAUUUCAUUUUUUCUUUUCUUCUUCUUCUUCUCUUCCCUUCACCGCCAAGAUUUUGAAGACAUCCAAGUUCCAUUUUUUUUUUCUUUUUCCUUCUUCAAUUUGCAGAGAACUUCUAAGAGAGAGUUUGAAAGAAGAAGAGAAAUUUUACUAGAAUUUUUAGGUUGAAGAAGAGGAGGAGAACUCAAGCAAAGUGUAUCAAUGGCUGAAUUUUAGUUCAUUCUGCACAUCACUGGUUUUUAAUUCGGUUUGAACUCUUCAAAUGGAAUUAAGAGGGACAAGUUAAAGAGGUCGUGUGCGCGCGAUUCUGGAAGUGGUUCUGUUUUGAGGGUUAUAUGUAUUUAUGCACGGGGAAUCAGAUUUAUAUGUCUUCAGGCCGAGAAGAAUUAAACCGAGCUUAUAGACCAAGGAUCUAGCCCAAGACUGUGAGUGACAAAACCAACUUUGAAAUAUUUUCCAUAAUUGUUAUUAUGAUUGAAUGCGAUAAAUGUUUAUUUACGAAGCCAUGAAAAGUAUUUGAAUUUCAUGACUAUUUUCAAGUAUACAUUUGGAGACUAGAUUUCUUAAAGAAAUUUAUGCUAGCACGUAGAUAUUAAAUGUUUGGAAAGUAUUUAAACCACAAUAUUUUAAGCAAAGCAUGAAUUAGUAUGAAGUUUUGUUUUAAGAUCUACAAUUUUCCACGAAAGAGCUGAGUAAAGUUUGAGCUUUGUGUAAAAUUUAUAAGCAGGCAUGUUUUAAUAUUUAAAGAUGAUUUAUGAAAUUUUCAUUAACUACAUGACUGAGAUCUUGAGCCUGAGGCUAGAGAUUACCGUGUGCACACUAGUUAGAUUCCGUUGUUGACGUUGAGUGUACUCCGUAACAACGAUGUUGUCGUGAGUGCUGGGCAAGCCCCACUACGACAAAGAUGAUGGGAGUGCUGGGCGGGCCCCACUACAUCGUAGUGCUUGUAAACGUUGUUGUACUAGGUGUACCCUACACAACGUAGAUUCGUCAUGUUAGUUAAAAUGCUUCGAUAUACUUGAUAUGCCUUGCUAGAUUUCAAUGAUGAACAUGCUGAGUAUUUAAGGAAGCUAUUCUUACUACUACACAUUUACAUUUGCGACUUGUAUAAACAGAUUUAUAUGUGUAAAGUUUUCACGUGCUCUUAUCUUUAAAUUCAUAGUUUUAAACUGAGUCACUCACUGAGCUUCAUAGCUCACCCUUUCCAAAAUGUUUUACCCAUUUUCCAGGUAGAGAUCGACUUCCUGGUGCCUGAUAGACUGCCUUAGUCUGCGGAAGCUUCAUUAUCGAUUGCCAGUACGUGUUUUGAGUUGGGCAUAGAGUCUGUUGUGUUGUGGUGUAUAUACACCCUUGUAUGUUAUAGAUACUCCACAGUUUGUAUAAGCUUUAGGAGCUGUAGUUGUGUAAAUUUUGUUGGUUAUAUUUUGAUUAUGGUGUCUUUAGGUUUACUCGUGAAAUCGGUAAAUUUUGAGGUACGCUUCAUGUAUGUGUUUGACUAGCCUAGGAUCCGCUGUGUUUUGUGGGAUGUACAAUAGUUUAUAUACUAGAUUGGCAAGUUCAUCACAUGAAA